Long non-coding RNA from Rhipicephalus sanguineus (brown dog tick), 451 nucleotides. RefSeq lists it as uncharacterized. NCBI's taxonomy places the organism in Eukaryota, Metazoa, Arthropoda, Arachnida, Ixodida, Ixodidae. The record is from RefSeq and is a predicted model, not a curated record. The transcript has 2 exons.
GAAGGGUCACAAGGAGACGGUCGACGGUAUGCAGCGGGAAAAAUUGUUGGCACGUAUGAAGGAUGGUACAUGCUAUUGCUCUUUGAAUUCCCGACGAAGUGCUGGCUGCAUAUUCUAGUGUUGGCGUUCGGUUGCCAAGCUUGCCGUCAGGCCUGUCGACGUCGAACCGCUUGUAUCCAACGCUGCCGCCGCUCUUUCUCCCACGGUCUUGCAGGAAAAUUGUAGAAAGACACGCCUUUGGUGGAGCCUUCCUGGUUGAAACAGCCGAUCACGCAGCAAUAACGCCGUCCCCGAAACCUCUUCACCUUUACUCCAGCAUCGAGGGCCAUAGCGUCGUUGGCAGUACUAGUUGCCAUAUGUACUACCUGAAGUUGCCAGCUGCCCCCACUAGGAUGCGCUGUGCACUGCAGACUCCACUGCUGAUUCCCCACAGUUGUACAGAUUCAUAGAU